CCCGGGUUUGCAUUCGGUCCCGCCCACUCCCCAGUCUCUCCCGCAUCCCCGAGAGUCACCCCCUUUCCCAGUGGGCGCUGCCGGUCCUCCUGCCCCACCCCUUGAUCGGCCUGAGUCCAGCACCACCCUGUCCCCAGGCUCCGCCCCGCUGUGAUCUCUUAUCUCCAGCCGUACCCCCUUUUCUCGGUGGCACCUUUCCAGAGCCCAGCGCCCUCUUGCAGUCCAAGCCUGAGACCGUCCCCAUCGCUCACCCAGAGUCCCCUGGAGACCUCAGGGCCGGCCAGUCCUUUAGGCCCCGCUUCUCUGUUAGGCCCUCCUGUGUUCCAGACCCCGUUCACACCCAAGAGCCCGCGCUGGAGCCGGCACCCCCGGUGUGGGAUGGAGGGUGUAGUGAACUCCCUCACCUACAGAAAGAGGCCUCGCCUUCCCAGACACUGUCUAUCCUCAGGGAGGCCCCGCCCCACUGGCCAUCUAGGUGCCGCCCUAAAAUGGGACACUGCCCCUUCCCACGAUGGUCCGCACCAUCCCUGUUGGCUUCCCCCACUUCACCCCUCCUGGCUCGUGAACUCUCACCCCAGUCCGGGUGGGUACACCCACCUCAUUGCUCCCGACCCUGCCCUGCAAUCCAUCAAAUUCCACAUGGGGUCAAGGUCCUGUGCAGACGAUCCCCACUCACUCUGCUGCUGAGCUCGGGGACCACCAAGAUGUUGGUGGCUUUGUACCUGCUCUGCUGGUGCGAGUGGGAAGCCCUGGCCCAGGCAGCAGUGUCCGGUCUCUUUUACUGCUGAGAUGGGAACGUUCCCGCCGCCGGGUGGUGUAGAAGAAACCUUUCAUUGAGGAGAAGGUGAGACUUGAAGGAGGCAGAAACUCACAGCACCCUCCCCCCGGGGGUGGGGGUGGGGGUGAGGGCUCUGACCUUUGCCAAUUUCCCUUAACGGCCAAAGUUCUCCUGCUGCCAAAACUAAGUCCACCAAAAGUAUCUGACAAAUUCCUCCCAUGACCCGGCCCUGCUAAACCCCAGAAAACUCAGAGCCUGCCUUAGCCAGUCGCCAUUUCCCUCUUGGAAAAUAUGCCCCUCUGCAUCGCUGAUCCCUUGAGGUCUGUGGCCAUUUCUCUUUGGUUUUGUCUUUCAUGUGCUUUCGAGACUCACCCCUGGUUGACCCCGAAUGGAAGGAACACCACCUCUCUGGCAAGGACCUGAAGCCAGAGGAGGUUGAGCCCCUUCCCAACAGAGAAGACCCCCCCUGCUUCUCCUGCACAAGGCCUAGGCAGCCUGCCCCACUGGUGGCCUGGGACAGCUCCCCUCUCCCACAGGGGAACAGCCGGCCUCUCUCCGGGUGGAAAGGGAAGUCUGACUUCUUUUCCUGUAAGAGAAGUCCCACCCCUCAAAUACGGAACAGGAAAUCCUGCCUGGGUCCAGCACGAGAUAAGGAGAUGUCCCACCUCCCCUUCCUGGUCUGGCAGGAAGUUGCCCCCCUCCCCGGCAGAUACGGAACAGGAAAUCCUGUCUGUGUCUGAAAAUGAGAAGCCCCAUCUUUUGCCUGUAGCCCUUUCCUACAGGACAGGAAGAGUGGAAAAGCAACCUGUCUGGAUCGAGGAUUUCCCCUUGGUUCCCGGCAGUGACUGUGCCCCACCCCAUGCAGCCAUAGAUCAGCCCGAGAGAGUCCAGGGCCUAAAGGAGGGCUCAGCGGCCAUCAUGAACACCUAUGUGUCAUGGCCUACCUUCCUCUUUGGCAGCUUUCCUGCUGCUCCCUGACCAGCAUGGCCCAGAUGACCCCAGGGAACUCACGACCCCACUCCCUGAUGGAGUGCCCCCCAGACCCUGGCUCCUCACCAACUACACCUGCACGGGGCACCCUGCCCGUGUCCGACACCAGGCAAGUGGGCAGGGAGGGCAGAGCUCGGGAAGCGUCUCCACCCCACCAGCCCCGCGGAGCUCAGCGCCCCUGCUGCCAGGACGUCCCUCCGCUCUGAGCAGGCCCCCUCCGGGACGCACUGCAUGUAUCUGGGGUGAGUGUUGGCAGGAGGUGGCCACAUGCCCGGCAAGGCCAGAGGACACUCCAUUGUCCCCUCCUCCCCCACGCCACCCCCACCCUGUGCCGGGUGCAGCCGUGCCAGGCACCGCGUGCCCAGAGCUUGUGUUGCCCUGGAGUUGGGAGGGCUUCUCUUCAAAAGACUCAUUUAGCAUCCCUGCCCCAGAACAGUAACUUCCAGAACCCGCCUCCUCCCCUGCCCACAGCUGGAGAGGACCCAUGCCAGGCUGGUCCACACGCAGGACUGAGUUCUGCCAGGGCAGAGGGAAAGAAAACAAGACCCAGCCGAGUAGAGGUCUGAGGCCAGGGCAGUGAGGCGGAAGGAAAGGCCCGGCAGCGGCGGGGGAGGCGGGAGCUCUGGGAAAGAGCCAGGGAUGGCAGGCCCAGGACACAGAAUGCAGACCCAGAUGCUGGGAAGCCAACUGCAGGCAUCGCAGCCAGCCCCAGGGCACCCACGCUCCAUGGGAGGCAGACAAUGACACGCACAGAGGCCUGGGCCAUGGCCACGUGACAGUCACACGGCUGCUCCACACUGGCAGCAUCUUCCUCCUGAGAGACUGUCUGUGGGUCUGCUGGCCUUUUUUAGACCAAGUGACGGGGUGGCUAUAACCUACACAGCAUCCUGCGGUGAAAAAGGGCAUGGGCUUUGGACCCAGAACACGCAGGUUCCAUUGGCUCCGUACCCAGCUUCAGCAGUGAGUGACUCCAGGUGAGACUCAACCUUGGGGUCUCUGUCUUCUCACCAUGGAGCAGCACCGAGAGCCAGGUCUGCUAUGUCCUUGUCCCCUUGCUGAGAAUGGAUCCCAGGGCCUCACAUGUGCUCUACCCUUGAGCCAGGCUCCAGUCCCCCAAAUGGAAACUUUGUUUUCUUCUUUUUCACCUCUAAAUCAGGAGCCAAUCCCUGCUUUGCUUUCUGAGAGUUCUCUUGCAGCCCAGGGACUCGGCUGAAGGUUUCUGGGGUGGCUUCUGUACCUGGAGGCUGGCCCCUUGCGAGAGGUGGGAGUCCUGGGCCCCAGUGUCAGGCCACCUGCACUGUCUCAGCUGCCUGCAUGAUAAAACUUGAAGUCAACAUUCAACCCAUCUCAACACCCAGACAUCGUCAGUAAAACCUUCUUACAGCGAUGGUUUGGGGGGCCACAGUCAGCACCUACUUUCUAUGCUAAAUUCCAUUUUCUUAUAAAACUACAAGGUAGAACAUCCUGAGAGCAUGGCCACCCAGGAUCAGACAGAUGAGGGGCCAUAAAAAUUCAGCCCCUCUAGCUAGGGGCUCCCAGUCCUCACGGUGCCACCUGCCUGCUCCCCAGCUCCCUGUGCAGGCUGCUGCUGGGGACAGAGGCCAGCUCCUACAGCCCGUGGCCCAGCUUUCUCAUAUCCCUGGCUGUGCUCCCUGGCUACAUCCAGUCCCUGGAUUAGUGACGUCACCCUACAACAUGGUCAUUGGACUCCUAUGGAGAACACGGAUGGCUUUCUGGGUGCCAGGUGAUACCAUGGGAUGCCUGGGUAGCAGGAUGAGUCUGCCUGCCUGGGGACCCUGGGCACCCCUGGCUCAUGUGACAUCCUGGGAUUGGAGCCUCACAGGGGUCAGACUGGGAGGAAUCCAGGUGACGUCACCCACCCACAGGCUGUUUGCGUCACUGGUCUCCCUACAUCUCAGGCAACUCCAGAGCUCGGCAGGCCACACACGGGAGGUCACCCCUGCUCUCUGCUCUCCUUCCUCUGGACUCCCUGAUGCUCAUCCAGAGCCCAAGGGAUGCCCUAAUCCAGACAAAGAUAGAGAAGAUCCCUGCAGGAGCUGCAUUCUCCAAGGAGCUGUCCUUCCCGGGAGCGUCAUCCAGGUGGUCCUGCCCCUCCAGGGCGGAGUCCACACCCCAAUUCAGCCCUGCGCUGGUGGGAUGACGCAGAAAACCCCACUUUCCAGGACCAAGCUCACACACUCCAUCUCCCCUCCCGGCGAGGCCACUUCCUUUUCUAUUCCUUUUUUUUUUUUUUUU
This is a long non-coding RNA of Ictidomys tridecemlineatus (thirteen-lined ground squirrel), 4024 nucleotides long. RefSeq lists it as uncharacterized. The record is from RefSeq and is a predicted model, not a curated record. NCBI's taxonomy places the organism in Eukaryota, Metazoa, Chordata, Mammalia, Rodentia, Sciuridae.